UACGUAGGUGGCAAGCGUUGUCCGGAAUUAUUGGGCGUAAAGCGCGCGCAGGCGGUCCUUUAAGUCUGAUGUGAAAGCCCACGGCUCAACCGUGGAGGGUCAUUGGAAACUGGGGGACUUGAGUGCAGAAGAGGAAAGCGGAAUUCCACGUGUAGCGGUGAAAUGCGUAGAGAUGUGGAGGGACACCAGUGGCGAAGGCGGCUUUCUGGUCUGUAACUGACGCUGAGGCGCGAAAGCGUGGGGAGCAAACAGG
Molecule: ribosomal RNA, 253 nt
Filed under: uncultured bacterium
Lineage: Bacteria
Description: partial 16S ribosomal RNA
Rfam family: Bacterial small subunit ribosomal RNA
Source: RNAcentral